Patella vulgata (common limpet) is the source of this 499-nucleotide long non-coding RNA. RefSeq lists it as uncharacterized. The record is from RefSeq and is a predicted model, not a curated record. The transcript has 3 exons. Lineage: Eukaryota; Metazoa; Mollusca; Gastropoda; Patellidae.
GCACUUGAAAUGGUGUCUAAAGAUUCAAAAUUGAUGUGCGCCUCGGCUUGUAAAUUUGAACCACAUUGUGUAGCUUUUGCUUUUCAUCGACAAAGAAAGGAAUGUCAUCUUUAUACCAGAAAUGUGGAAGAACUGGGAAGUGAUCCCGACCCUGGAAUGAAUGUUUUCAUGGUGAAUACAGAUGGGAGCAAUGUUGCCAGUCUAAAACCGCCAUCAACAAGUUCUGUUGGUGGUCUACAAGCAAUGUCAGCAGCUCUAGAUAACAACCCAAAUACCUGUUUUCAAACACAGAAAGACGAUUAUCAACCCUGGUUCCUUGUUGAUUUGAUGAAAACAUUUCUAAUUCGUUUUAUAUUGGUGUACAACGAGGAUGUGUAUCCUGAACGCCUCCAUGACGUUAAUUAUGAGGUCUAUGAUUCUGAUCUAACGGUAAACAACUCUUCAGAAGGUAAUUGUUGUGCUUCAGUGGCUGAUUACAAUACAGGUAAAAACAUCAUCA